AGCGAACGUUAGCGGCGGGCCUAACACAUGCAAGUCGAACGCGAAAGGUCUUCGGACUGAGUAGAGUGGCACACGGGUGAGUAACACGUAGGUAAUCUACCCUUUGGCGGGGGAUAACGUUCCGAAAGGAGCGCUAAUACCGCAUAAGACCACGGAGUCUCCGGACGCUGUGGGAAAAGGUGGCCUCUUCUUGAAAGCUACCACCGAAGGAUGAGCCUGCGUCCCAUCAGCUAGUUGGUAAGGUAAUGGCUUACCAAGGCGAAGACGUGUAGCUGGUUUGAGAGAAUGAUCAGCCACACUGGCACUGGAACACGGGCCAGACUCCUACGGGAGGCAGCAGUGAGGAAUAUUGGGCAAUGGGCGAAAGCCUGACCCAGCCACGCCGCGUGAGUGAUGAAGGCCCUCGGGUCGUAAAGCUCUGUGGAGAGGGACGAAAACCCUGGUUUCAAAUAGGCUCCAGGCUUGACGGUACCUCUCUAGCAAGCACCGGCUAACUCUGUGCCAG
Molecule: ribosomal RNA, 505 nt
Filed under: uncultured bacterium
Lineage: Bacteria
Description: bacterial SSU rRNA
Rfam family: Bacterial small subunit ribosomal RNA
Source: RNAcentral